This 292-nucleotide ribosomal RNA is filed under the name uncultured bacterium. RNAcentral's name for it is "partial 16S ribosomal RNA". The record is from RNAcentral.
GGACUACCCGGGUUUCUAAUCCUGUUUGCUCCCCUUGCUCUCGCGCCUCAGCGUCAGGUAUAAACCAGAAAACCGCUUUCGCCACUGGUGUUCUUCCACAUAUCUACGCAUUUCACCGCUACACGUGGAAUUCCGUUUUCUCCGUCAACCCUCGAGACAAACAGUUUCAAAUGCAGCACCAAAGUUGAGCUUUGGUAUUUCACAUCUGACUUGUUUAUCCGCCUACGCGCCCUUUACGCCCAAUAAUUCCGAUUAAUGCUUGCACCCUCCGUAUUACCGCGGCUGCUGGCAC